GCUCUUCCCUCCUUUGUCUGCAGGAGUUUCCUUCCUUCCAGGCUUUCUUUCUUUCUUUUCUUUCCUUUUUUUUUUAAAUCCCCUAGGGAAAGCCUGGGCCAGUCUGGCCCCCAGACAAGCCCCCUGUGGAGGCAGAGCCAGGACUGCCUUCUUGGACCUUCUCUCCUUCCCUUCCCUGCCGACUCCCUUCUCCCCACUUGCCUUAGGGACCAUUUAUUUGCUGUUUGGGAGUCAAACACCCUGGGGAACGGCAAUUGCUUUCUUUCACCACUAGGGGUCCAUAGAGAGAACUAUUCGGUUCAUAGAAUCGGAGAUGUUGAGCUGGACCAGACCUUAAGAGACCAUCCAGUCCUUCAUUUUACAGGACAGGGAACUGAGUCCCAGAGAAGUCCAGGCACUUGUCCAAGGUCCAACAGAAGAACUCUCCACUAUGGCCUGUCCAUCUUGGGUAAUCCUGGAUGCCGCACUGAAGUACACAAGCCCCUCUGCCAUGACAAGGCAGUGAGCCAGGAGAACACAUCUGUAUAUAGCAAAUACUUUGAGAGCCAAGCAAAGGUCCAGGUGGACCAGUGGCCCAUUAUGUUGUCCCCAGGCUAAAUGUGAGCUAGCCUUUGUCAUAAGGUUGGCUCCUUUUUGACCUCCAGUCAUGCCAGGCUGCUGACGGUGGAGAAUCUCCCUGGGCUCUCAAGGAAUCCAGACUGAGCAAUUUCCCAAGGGCAGAGACUGUUCACUUUUGUCUUUAGAUGGGAUGGGCGUCUUCCAUGCCUAGCACACAGCCCACUUAAUAAACGCUUAAUUGAUUGUUCUUUUCA
This 812-nucleotide long non-coding RNA is filed under the name Monodelphis domestica (gray short-tailed opossum). Its description in RNAcentral is "lncRNA (ENSMODG00000033449.2)". Lineage: Eukaryota; Metazoa; Chordata; Mammalia; Didelphimorphia; Didelphidae. The record is from RNAcentral.